Molecule: long non-coding RNA, 3160 nt
Organism: Megalobrama amblycephala (Wuchang bream)
Lineage: Eukaryota; Metazoa; Chordata; Actinopteri; Cypriniformes; Xenocyprididae
Exons: 6
Source: RefSeq, a predicted model, not a curated record
CCCACCUUGCGGUGGACGGUGCCAGAGAGACUCACAGGAGAGCUGAAUCUGCCAGCAAAGACUGAUGGGAAAAAACACUGUCACAUGAAACCUCAGAGGAGGAGCUUUGGUCUCCUUUCAACAUCAACAGAAGGGAACUGGCAGUUUAAAGGAAGUCUGGACAAACCGAGGUGCUGAGUUGUAGGUUUGCACCACACUUUUGCUGAUGUGGAUCUUUUAACACGAGACUUGAAAAAGACUCCAAUUCAGUGCCUGUUGAACUAAUCAAUCACACAGUUGGGCGGAGGAUAAUGUUAUUGCUCAAAAGUUGCUCUUUCUGUUUUCAUGUGAAUUUGUCAUAUUUGUAGUUGAUGGAUGGCAGUGAGGCACCUUGUUGACCAGAACGACAACUUUCCCCGGUUGUCCCAUCUGCUUCUUCCUCUCCAAAUGUUCUUUAGUGAUAUACACAGCAACCCUGGUUUUACCACUUCCUGUUGGGAGGCAGAUGAUGAUGUUCUUUUCCUCCAGAGCUGGUCUCGCCACCUCCAUCUGAUAGUCACGCAGAACAAUUUCCCUCUUACUCGCUGAGAGAGAGAAGGAGAGAGAAAGUGACAUGCCAUAUAUCAUGAUCCUGCAGGUACAGUUGUGCUUGCCUUCAGCAUCCAGAGCAGAGGAGGGAUUCUGUAUCUCCAUGAAGGAAAGGCAGAAUUCAAAAUAGGGAUCCAAAAAGAAACAAGUCUGCUUCAAUCUGGAGGAACAAUUACCCUAGAAACAUGUGAACUGAGAGCUUCUGGCAGAGGACAGAUGAGCCAGUGAAGUAGACCCUGAGCCGACCCGUUCUUGAUCACUUCAAUAUGCCCUCAUGUUAGCGGCAGGCCUCGUCUGGAACAGGCAUCUUUGCUGAACUCCGAGUGGAAAUAUUCCCUGGAUGUGACGGUGAUUUAGCACUUUUUUGAGGAGACGGGACUGGUGUACUUUAUGCGGUGGAGGGCAACGUCUCACAUGUGGAGCACUAACAGAACCACCGAGAAUCGGGCCGCCGAACACAACUAAGCCAUUCUUUUCCAUACGCUUUUAAAUAAUAACUCUGAAAAUUUCCUGACAGUUAAUUGCUUGCAGGAAAGUUUCUCCGGCGAAGGCUGGAUUAUGGGUCAUUAGAUGUUUUGCACAAAAGAACUAAGCUGAAAUGUCAAAGGGAAAAUAGAUUUGAUGCCUUAUUUCCUUUCAAACACUGAACUAGACAAUGAUUGAAUGUACAAUUAAAGACAUGGCCACUAUUAAAGCAGGGUUAAUUUUAAUAGCUCUGUCAAUUAGGGUUUUGUGGCAUUCAAUUCACUUACUAAUUUCAAUGUUCGCUUUUUGACCAAUGAAUUUCCAUGACAUUUCCAAUCAUUCGUCAUUACUGGAGAAGUGUUGUAAUUCCUAUGAAUUUGAAUUGAAAUGGCCAGAUCACACAGUAUGUGCAGAUUCAAUAUACAUCUCAAAAGCCCGCUUCAUGUUGGUCUCAUUUCAUUUUAUUUAUUUAUUUUUUUAAAUUACAUUUUAUUUUAUUUAUUUUUAAUUUUUUUUUAGCUUUAUUUAAUUUUAUUUUGAAAUGUAUAAUAAUUAAAUGUACAUUUGAUGACACUUGAAGCCUUUAUAUGUAAUGCAUUAUAAACAUUUUUAAUGCAUUAAUUAUGCAUUGUUAUUCACCUUAUAAUGCAUUGUAUUUUCCCAUGAAUAAUUAUAACCAUAGUUAUAAUACAUUAUAAUACUUAUCUAUUCAUUUGACACAUCUUUAGAAAGUAUAAUGCAUUAAAACAUGACAAAUUUCAUAUGUAUCUGCAAAUAUAUAAUGCAUUUUAACUUUAGUUACAUUUAUUUAUGUAAAGCUAUAAUGCAUUAUAACAUACUUUAUGAAGACCUUUACAAUGCAUUAUACAUAAAGGCUUUAUGUAAAGUGUUACUGCACAUUUCUAUAGCAAGGAUUUUGUUUAUUGAAACUCAAGCAACUUCAAGCAUUUCUCAGUUUAAUUCUGAGUGAAUGGCACAACCCUACUGGAUAAUGAUUUUAAAAUAUAUAUUUUUAGAGUUUGCACUCAAUAAGAGAAAGUAUGAAAUAGUUCAGAGAUGGGCAUAACUAGAAACUAAAUCAAUGUAAUUUGUAAUUGAACUAAUUCUUUUCCCCCAUCUUUUACAGUGCAUUAAUUGCUGGGACUGUCCAAACUGGAUCAAGUGCAUUAGGUACGAACCCACACACAUUCAGUUUCGGAUGAAAGACAUUUGACUGUACCUGACGGAUCAUCAUCCUCUGUGAGAUCUUCUUUCUCUUCCUCCUUGCCUUCUUUGUACAUGUCGACAUCUGUGAGAGAAUAUAUGCACUGCUGUUAGUUUGAAGAUUUGAAACACUGUUCUUGGUCUCUCACACUUUUGCAUUGCAUUGCAUGUGUCCGUCCAGGCUUUGUUGUUUUUUCAGAUAGGAUAGUGAUAGAGCUAAAUCAGUCCAAUAAUGCCAAGAUACAGAAUACAUUUAUCCAUGUAUCUCCUCACAAUAGAUGAGCAUGAGCAAUUGACCCUUUGCCGGGAGUUUGAUUGACAGGUGAUCUAACCAGUCAUAAUGCUGAAUCCUCUGUUUUGUCUGACAAAGCAGUCAGGGGAGUUAGUAGAUUAACGUCGGUGGACUUGAACUUGAAAAAUGGUGUGUACUGACGUCUUUCAGCGGUUGAAACAACAUUCCUUCUGAUGUUCGUUCAUGUUUAUUUGAUACUAUAAAUAAACUAGGAAGAGUUGAUUGGGUCACGAGUCGCUUGAAAUGAGGCACUACAGCGAUCUCGACACAUUAAAGAACAACAAAAUGGUAUUUAUUGUUCAAAUUUCUUACAAAAUUUGAGACUUUUUGAGAUGUUUUAUAUCAAAACUAAUCUGGUCUGUCGGCGCGUUGUGUGUCCUCUUUGCUCUGCGAUGUAUUUUUCACUGUGUGAGAACAUGAUGUGUGGCGUGAGAGCGGCAUGGUUUAGUUGGACGUAGCAACAGUAACUAAAGGGGGUGGGGCUUUGCGAAAGGUCAAUUCCUCACAGAGCCAACAAUAACAAAAAAAAACACCAAAAGCUAGAUUAGGAGUAGUUGAUAAAGAGCAGGAUUGUUUGUUUGCUCAACCAAGUUUUUUGAUUUGUGAAAGGAAAAGCUUCAGAUAUUCACCUUC